RNAcentral lists this ribosomal RNA (3006 nucleotides) under Salmonella enterica. RNAcentral describes it as "bacterial LSU rRNA". It matches the Rfam family "Bacterial large subunit ribosomal RNA". Lineage: Bacteria; Pseudomonadati; Pseudomonadota; Gammaproteobacteria; Enterobacterales; Enterobacteriaceae. The record is from RNAcentral.
UUAAGCGACUAAGCGUACACGGUGGAUGCCCUGGCAGUCAGAGGCGAUGAAGGGCGUGCUAAUCUGCGAUAAGCGCCGGUAAGGUGAUAUGAACCGUUAUAACCGGCGAUACCCGAAUGGGGAAACCCAGUGUGACUCGUCACACUAUCAUUAACUGAAUCCAUAGGUUAAUGAGGCGAACCGGGGGAACUGAAACAUCUAAGUACCCCGAGGAAAAGAAAUCAACCGAGAUUCCCCCAGUAGCGGCGAGCGAACGGGGAGGAGCCCAGAGCCUGAAUCAGCAUGUGUGUUAGUGGAAGCGUCUGGAAAGGCGCGCGAUACAGGGUGACAGCCCCGUACACAAAAGCGCAUGUGCUGUGAGCUCGAUGAGUAGGGCGGGACACGUGGUAUCCUGUCUGAAUAUGGGGGGACCAUCCUCCAAGGCUAAAUACUCCUGACUGACCGAUAGUGAACCAGUACCGUGAGGGAAAGGCGAAAAGAACCCCGGCGAGGGGAGUGAAAAAGAACCUGAAACCGUGUACGUACAAGCAGUGGGAGCCCCACCACCAAAGCAUUCUCUGGUGUUGAAGGCCCUGCAAAGCAGCAUCGCGGUGGCGGAGCGUCGUUUGCGACGCCCAACACACAAAACAAGCGGUGAAUGCUUUGGGGUGGGGUGACUGCGUACCUUUUGUAUAAUGGGUCAGCGACUUAUAUUCUGUAGCAAGGUUAACCGAAUAGGGGAGCCGGAGGGAAACCGAGUCUUAAUUGGGCGUUAAGUUGCAGGGUAUAGACCCGAAACCCGGUGAUCUAGCCAUGGGCAGGUUGAAGGUUGGGUAACACUAACUGGAGGACCGAACCGACUAAUGUUGAAAAAUUAGCGGAUGACCUGUGGCUGGGGGUGAAAGGCCAAUCAAACCGGGAGAUAGCUGGUUCUCCCCGAAAGCUAUUUAGGUAGCGCCUCGUGAAUUCAUCUCCGGGGGUAGAGCACUGUUUCGGCUAGGGGGCCAUCCCGGCUUACCAACCCGAUGCAAACUGCGAAUACCGGAGAAUGUUAUCACGGGAGACACACGGCGGGUGCUAACGUCCGUCGUGAAGAGGGAAACAACCCAGACCGCCAGCUAAGGUCCCAAAGUCAUGGUUAAGUGGGAAACGAUGUGGGAAGGCCCAGACAGCCAGGAUGUUGGCUUAGAAGCAGCCAUCAUUUAAAGAAAGCGUAAUAGCUCACUGGUCGAGUCGGCCUGCGCGGAAGAUGUAACGGGGCUAAACCAUGCACCGAAGCUGCGGCAGCGACGCUGAUGCGUUGUUGGGUAGGGGAGCGUUCUGUAAGCCUGCGAAGGUGACCUGUGAGGGUUGCUGGAGGUAUCAGAAGUGCGAAUGCUGACAUAAGUAACGAUAAAGCGGGUGAAAAGCCCGCUCGCCGGAAGACCAAGGGUUCCUGUCCAACGUUAAUCGGGGCAGGGUGAGUCGACCCCUAAGGCGAGGCCGAAAGGCGUAGUCGAUGGGAAACGGGUUAAUAUUCCCGUACUUGGUGUUACUGCGAAGGGGGGACGGAGAAGGCUAUGUUGGCCGGGCGACGGUUGUCCCGGUUUAAGCGUGUAGGUGUGUGUUCCAGGUAAAUCCGGUUCACUUUAACACUGAGGCGUGAUGACGAGGCACUACGGUGCUGAAGCAACAAAUGCCCUGCUUCCAGGAAAAGCCUCUAAGCAUCAGGUAACAUCAAAUCGUACCCCAAACCGACACAGGUGGUCAGGUAGAGAAUACCAAGGCGCUUGAGAGAACUCGGGUGAAGGAACUAGGCAAAAUGGUGCCGUAACUUCGGGAGAAGGCACGCUGACACGUAGGUGAAGUGAUUUACUCACGGAGCUGAAGUCAGUCGAAGAUACCAGCUGGCUGCAACUGUUUAUUAAAAACACAGCACUGUGCAAACACGAAAGUGGACGUAUACGGUGUGACGCCUGCCCGGUGCCGGAAGGUUAAUUGAUGGGGUCAGCGCAAGCGAAGCUCCUGAUCGAAGCCCCGGUAAACGGCGGCCGUAACUAUAACGGUCCUAAGGUAGCGAAAUUCCUUGUCGGGUAAGUUCCGACCUGCACGAAUGGCGUAAUGAUGGCCAGGCUGUCUCCACCCGAGACUCAGUGAAAUUGAACUCGCUGUGAAGAUGCAGUGUACCCGCGGCAAGACGGAAAGACCCCGUGAACCUUUACUAUAGCUUGACACUGAACAUUGAGCCUUGAUGUGUAGGAUAGGUGGGAGGCUUUGAAGUGUGGACGCCAGUCUGCAUGGAGCCGACCUUGAAAUACCACCCUUUAAUGUUUGAUGUUCUAACGUGGACCCGUUACCCGGGUUGCGGACAGUGUCUGGUGGGUAGUUUGACUGGGGCGGUCUCCUCCUAAAGAGUAACGGAGGAGCACGAAGGUUGGCUAAUCCUGGUCGGACAUCAGGAGGUUAGUGCAAUGGCAUAAGCCAGCUUGACUGCGAGCGUGACGGCGCGAGCAGGUGCGAAAGCAGGUCAUAGUGAUCCGGUGGUUCUGAAUGGAAGGGCCAUCGCUCAACGGAUAAAAGGUACUCCGGGGAUAACAGGCUGAUACCGCCCAAGAGUUCAUAUCGACGGCGGUGUUUGGCACCUCGAUGUCGGCUCAUCACAUCCUGGGGCUGAAGUAGGUCCCAAGGGUAUGGCUGUUCGCCAUUUAAAGUGGUACGCGAGCUGGGUUUAGAACGUCGUGAGACAGUUCGGUCCCUAUCUGCCGUGGGCGCUGGAGAACUGAGGGGGGCUGCUCCUAGUACGAGAGGACCGGAGUGGACGCAUCACUGGUGUUCGGGUUGUCAUGCCAAUGGCACUGCCCGGUAGCUAAAUGCGGAAGAGAUAAGUGCUGAAAGCAUCUAAGCACGAAACUUGCCCCGAGAUGAGUUCUCCCUGAGACUUAAAGUCUCCUGAAGGAACGUUGAAGACGACGACGUUGAUAGGCCGGGUGUGUAAGCGCAGCGAUGCGUUGAGCUAACCGGUACUAAUGAACCGUGAGGCUUAACCUU